Molecule: long non-coding RNA, 816 nt
Filed under: Gallus gallus (chicken)
Lineage: Eukaryota; Metazoa; Chordata; Aves; Galliformes; Phasianidae
Source: RNAcentral
GGCAAUCUUAGGGUCGUUAUGGUUGGAGAAGAGCUGUGGGAUCGUCCAGCCCGACUCAACAACCCCCCCCCCCCAUUACUGCAUCUGCGGGCAGUGGAAAAGACCCCUCCCAAUGGGCGCUGGUUGGGGGCCCGUGGGUGGGCUGGGCCACCUCGGUGGUCUUUUCCAACCACAGCGAUGCUGGGGAUGGAGGUGAUGGGGGGGUGGGUCGGGGUGUCCCCGCGGGUCUCAUCCAACCAUAAGGAUGUGUUGGUGCCCCGGACCCCCCCCGCGCAGGAGGUGGUGUCCCAGUGCAGGAAGCUGACCAGGAAGAACCGGGAGCAGCUGUCGGAGCUGAUGUGCCUGGACAAGCAGAAGGGGCUCAAAUCGCUCAGCAAGGAGAAGCGGCAGAAGCUGGAGGCGUACCAACACCUCUUCUACCUGCUGCAGACGCAGCCCACCUACCUGGCCCGGCUGCUGUUCCAGGUGCCCCAGAACAAAUCCACCGCCUUCCUGCAGCCCGUCGUCUUCACGCUGUACAGCUACGCCUCCCACCCGCGGGAGGGGUAUCUGCUGCUGCAGCUCUUCAAGGCGGCCCUGCAGGAGGAGAUCAGGUGCAGAGUGGAGCGCAUCCACGACGUCCUGACGGGGAACGCCGCCGUCAUCCGAAUGGUGGUCGGCUUCUACCGCAGCGCCCGCGGGCGGAGCGCACUGCGCCGCAUCCUGGGCCGCCCGGUGCGGGAGGUGCUGCGGGACGCCACCCUCAGCAUCCGCACCGACCCCGUGGACAUCUACAAGGCGUGGGUCAACCAGGCCGAGUCGCAGAGCGGGCAGAGG